Molecule: long non-coding RNA, 1179 nt
Organism: Mesocricetus auratus (golden hamster)
Lineage: Eukaryota; Metazoa; Chordata; Mammalia; Rodentia; Cricetidae
Exons: 2
Source: RefSeq, a predicted model, not a curated record
CACCAUCUGUGGACCAGCGAGGUCUGAGCCCGUGCAGCUUCCCAGGUCUGACGGGACUGGGUGCAUUCAGGCUGAUACAGCUGAAGACUGUAAGUCAUCCACAGCAGCUUCUGUUGGCCUACAAAAGGGUUGCCUGCCGUGGCUUGACUGUCAGAUGGCUUCACCUCGUUGUCCAAGGCUAGACCAGUCCUGGACACGCAGUUGGAAGUGUCUUUGGUGGGAGCUUGAAAUUCAAGAGCCAUUGCAGACGACAGGGAGGAGUUGGGGGAGCAACUUUCCUGCAACACGGAAGAAAUCAGUGGUUUUGUGAGAGAGAAUGUGGUGGCCAUCCGAUGAGAAGGGGAGGAAGGUGAGAGCUGAGAGAAUUGUGGUAAGAGUUCAGGGCCCCAACUGGUGUCCUCACUCUCUUUCAACAUAGCUCAGCUGGGGUCCUAAACAUCAACAUACCCCCUGGAGGAGCAGCCACUAAGAAAGAACAAAGGGAGAGGAGCAAAUGACAAAGUGCAUUUGGCUAGAGGGUUGAGUGAUAGACAUGUGUUGGGUGUGCUCAGAUGGAAGGAAGGCAGAGAUCAGGCUUCAAGAUCUUGAGUCUCAAGCCUGAAACAAUGAUUCUUGCUUCUCCUGGAUCCUGAGAUGCCAAAGCUGUCUGACUAGCACCCACAUCUUACCUGAUUUCUCCAACUCACAUCCCUAAGAAACAAGGAACAUGGUAGCGGUAAGAUCUUGGGAUGGUUAAUGUUGCUCAGAAUCGCCUAGGAGACAAAUAGGGGCCAUGUCUGCAAGGGAGUUUCUAGCUUAGGCUAAUGGACGAGGUGGCAUCAUUCCAUGGGAUGGAGUUAAAAGAAGAAAGCAAGGUGAACGACAACAUCCAUUGCCCUAUACUUCCUGGCUGCUGAUGCAAUGUGAUCUGAUGGGAGAUGCCAUUCUGUAAAUCUGUCUCUUAUUGGUUGUUGAAUAAAGCACUGUUGGCCGAUAGGGAAGCAAGAUAGGUGGGACUAGGAGUCGAGCAGGACUCUGGUGAGGAGAAACACAGGGAGUCAUCAUGUAGCUGCUAUAGGGGUUAGAAGUCCGGACCCUAUUCUCCGGUAAGAGAAAUACUUAGAUUAACAAUUAUGGAGUAAAUACUUAAGUCAGAGCUAGCCAGUAAGAAAAAAGCAAGGCCAACAGUUUCAUAAUUAA